AAGCCAGUGUUGGUCGCCCAGGAGUUUGUGUUUUAAGUAAACAUCUCUUGAACCCGCAGCUGAGGACACAGUUAUGAAGAGUGUAUGUAUGACUGAAUGCGGCCCAUGGGACAUGCGUGGGACUGACACGUGCUUUCCUGAUGGUGUCCUCAAGGAGAAAGCCGUGCUACUCUUCCGCCUGCCUCCGCCUUGCUGCAUGCAACUCUUCAGGCCUGCAUGCUCCCAGGUCAGCUUCUUCUAAUGGUAAUGACAGUAGCAGCAAGAAAAGCUUGACUGCACAAAUGCAUUUCAAGCCUCUGCUUGUGUAUUGGUUGCUAACAUCCAGUUGGCUAAGGCCAAAGGUA
Molecule: long non-coding RNA, 344 nt
Organism: Manis pentadactyla (Chinese pangolin)
Lineage: Eukaryota; Metazoa; Chordata; Mammalia; Pholidota; Manidae
Exons: 3
Source: RefSeq, a predicted model, not a curated record